GCAGUGGUGGUUUAGUGGUCAGAUUCUCACCUUCUGUGCCAGAGACCCAGGUUCAAUUCCCAGCCAGUGCA
This 71-nucleotide transfer RNA is filed under the name Loxodonta africana (African savanna elephant). It matches the Rfam family "tRNA". From Rfam's summary of the family: Transfer RNA (tRNA) molecules are approximately 80 nucleotides in length. Their secondary structure includes four short double-helical elements and three loops (D, anti-codon, and T loops). Further hydrogen bonds mediate the characteristic L-shaped molecular structure. tRNAs have two regions of fundamental functional importance: the anti-codon, which is responsible for specific mRNA codon recognition, and the 3' end, to which the tRNAs corresponding amino acid is attached (by aminoacyl-tRNA synthetases). tRNAs cope with the degeneracy of the genetic code in two manners: having more than one tRNA (with a specific anti-codon) for a particular amino acid; and 'wobble' base-pairing, i.e. permitting non-standard base-pairing at the 3rd anti-codon position. The record is from Rfam by way of RNAcentral. Lineage: Eukaryota; Metazoa; Chordata; Mammalia; Proboscidea; Elephantidae.